This 468-nucleotide ribosomal RNA is filed under the name uncultured bacterium. RNAcentral's name for it is "partial 16S ribosomal RNA". It matches the Rfam family "Bacterial small subunit ribosomal RNA", at positions 28 to 507 of the family's 1533-position model. The record is from RNAcentral.
GACGAACGCUGGCGGCGUGCUUAACACAUGCAAGUCGAACGGAAAGGCCCUGCGUUUGUGGGGUGAUCGGGUGGGGAACGGGUGAGUAACACGUGAGUAACCUGCCCUUGACUUUGGGGUAACUUCAGGAAACUGGGGCUACUACCGUAUAGCAGCUGCUGCUGCAUGGAGGGGGUGGGAACGUCUCGGCGGGUGGGGCUGGAUUGGCGGCUUAUCAGCUUGUUGGUCGGGGAGGGGUUGACCAAGGCUGUGACGGGUAGGCGGCACGAGAGGGUGAACGGGCUCAUUGGGACUGCGAUACGGACCAGUCUCCUACGGGGGGCAGCAGGGGGGAACAUUGUACAAUGGGCGGAAGUCUGAUGCAGCGACGCUGCGGGCGUGAUGACGGCCUUCGGGGUGUAAACAGCUUUAGCCUGUGACGAAGCGUGAGUGACGGUACUGGGUAAAGAAGCACCGGCUAACUACGUG